Molecule: long non-coding RNA, 986 nt
Organism: Homo sapiens (human)
Lineage: Eukaryota; Metazoa; Chordata; Mammalia; Primates; Hominidae
Gene: DHCR24-DT
Product: DHCR24 divergent transcript
Source: Ensembl
GAGUCCCGGCCGCACCCGGCGCCGCUCACCUGCUUCUGGAUGUCCCGCACGCGCUGCUCGUGCAGGCGCGGAGCGCUGCUGAGCUUGAACACCACCCAGGCGCGCACGUAGUAGUAGAUAUCGAAGAUAAGCGAGAGCGGCAGGAGGAAGAGGCACACGAACACCCAGCGCUGGUGGAUGAGCACGAACUCCAGCCCCUUCAGGCGCACCCACAGCAGGAAGAGCAGCGCGCACACGGCCAGCGACACGGCGGGCUCCAUGGUGCGGCGCCGCGCGGGGGCACUUUCCACGAAUUCAUUUGAGCUACACAGCAGUCCUGGGCAGUGGGGAGUGGUGAGCUCCAUUGUGUACACUUGGAAGCAGCCCAGAAAGGUGAAGACCUGUUCGUGAACUCCAGAGGCCAUUGGAAGCAUGGAAGGCUAUGGCUGGCACUCUUCCUCUUUUUCCAGUUCACUGAGGCAGAUGGGAGGCCCGGAGGAGAAAGAAUGAAGGAAGGCAUUUCAGCCCGAGUAAACUCCCCAGGCCCGCUCUGUGCCAGGCAGUGUUGCAAGCCUCGGGUAGGGUGGUGAGCAAAGCAGAUGGCCCUGCCCUCACUCAGCAACCAGUGUAGGGGAGCUGCCACGGUUACCAGCAAAAGCUGAAAUCCAGCGCCAUUUGCAUUUCAUAUGGAAUUUUAGGAAGUUUUCGAGAUGUUUUAGUUUAGAAGCUAAACAUGACAUACCAGGUUCUUCUCUGUCUGGCCUUGCAUACCUAUCCAGUUCCCUCUCCAUUCAUCUCUGCCCUGACAUGCACUCAGGAGGCUCCCUGGGCCUCAGCAUUCCUCAUUUGCGCGCCUCUGGUCAAGCUAGUACCUCUGAAUGCCCUUUCCCAUCCCCUUCUCAGAGUUCACCUCACACAUUCCGAAGCCAGCUCAGGGCCACCUCUGAAACAUUUAGAGCACUCCCCUGCCCAUCCAGAUGCUCAUUAAAUAGUGUGCAUCUCUGUCA